AAACAAAUCUUUUACUCUUGCAAUGACUCCCGCAGUAUCAAUUCUUUGGGCCUUGAAAUCUUUCAUAACUUCAAGGAAGUCUUCAUACUGUUGUCUCUUGUCUUGAAAUAUGUCCUUCACUCUCUUGAGAUAUACUAGGGCGUCAUUAGUGGUUAAUUUCUGAGUACUUCCUCCUCCCGCCAUUUGGGGUUGUGUAGAUGCUUCUGCACGAGUGGAAAUCGCAGGACGUUUGAGUUGAGAGCCCAUAUAAACGUCGUCUCUGGACCUCUUCAUCUCCAACAAGAAACUCCUCCGUCUUUAACAGAAAAUCAUGCUUCGAACUCAGAUUAGAAUCAAAAUUCCUGCUCAGAUCACCUCCCAAUAUCCAAAAUCACAUUAAAGGGUGUGAGGUGAAAGAUCGUGGAGUGAGGGAAUUAGCAGAAAGUCUGAAGCAUAAACAAGUC
Molecule: unclassified non-coding RNA, 443 nt
Filed under: Hevea brasiliensis (rubber tree)
Lineage: Eukaryota; Viridiplantae; Streptophyta; Magnoliopsida; Malpighiales; Euphorbiaceae
Source: RNAcentral